Fukomys damarensis (Damara mole-rat) is the source of this 354-nucleotide long non-coding RNA. RefSeq lists it as uncharacterized. The transcript is spliced from 3 exons. Lineage: Eukaryota; Metazoa; Chordata; Mammalia; Rodentia; Bathyergidae. The record is from RefSeq and is a predicted model, not a curated record.
UUUGCUCCUUCCGGGCCCUCCCCACCCCUCCUCGGGGCUGUACUCAUUCACCCCGUUGGUGUUGACUCUUCAAAGACCCCUCCUGGGCUUCCCCUAAGUACUGGGGUUGAACUCAGGACCUUGUGCUUGCCAGGGAAGAAAAAUUCUUUAAGCAAAAAGGAAGGUUCAAUAAUCCAUUUGCACAAACAGUAAGAAUGCCAGAGGAGGAGCUAAAUUUUCCAGACCUUCAGAAAAACUGACAAACUGAUUCAAGCUUGAACUUUCAGAUCUGACAUCCUUAUGAAAUGCUUUUGAUACUGUUUUGGAAAUGUUCAUUACAACUGAAGCCUCUAAGCCUGCUCCUACUACCCUAGG